This 675-nucleotide long non-coding RNA is filed under the name Homo sapiens (human). Its description in RNAcentral is "lncRNA neighboring enhancer of FOXA2 (LNCNEF)". The record is from RNAcentral. Lineage: Eukaryota; Metazoa; Chordata; Mammalia; Primates; Hominidae.
AUGAAGAAACAGAGGGAUAUACUGCCGUCUUAAACCAACCCAAAUGCCUCUGCCGCAGUCGCAGUUAUUUAGGGUGGAGAAGCGGGCUCUGGCAACUAGAGAAGGUGGCCGCAGCAUGGGGACACCCGAAUUGAGGAGCUGUUUGGGCAAUAAGCUGAUUUAGAGAAUUAAGACCUCCACAGAUGGGAGUGGAAUCCGCAACUGCUCAAUCCAUCCACUGAGAAGUCCCAUAAAAGAUGGACAAUCCAUAACUGAAACCCAACCUUCGGCACAACGAUCAAAUUCUACAUGCAUAAAGCAAGAGAUCUGUGUGCCAGAUCCAUCUUAAAGGCACCCCACCCAGAGGACAGAGUCUGUCUCCUUCCCCUAAACAAUAUGCAGAAACCACCCUGGUAUUUCAUGGGUUCUCACUUAGGAAAAUUGAGUUCUGUUCAAUGAUGCCCCUUCUGCACUGGUUGGUUUCAUGUGACAAAGAGAGCUCUAGGGAGGACUUUUGCUAGGGGAACGCAGAUUGUUCCAGCAAGAUGAAGGCCUAGGAGACCUGGAUGGCCUGGGUGUUUUCUUCCCAGGGAGAGCAGAGGAGGCCUGGAUUUGAACUCGAGUCUUAUGACUUUGCCAUUGAGGCAACAUCCAAAAUAAAAAUAGCAUGCUAACCCCAAAAAAAAAAAAAAAAAA